Monodelphis domestica (gray short-tailed opossum) is the source of this 386-nucleotide long non-coding RNA. RefSeq lists it as uncharacterized. NCBI's taxonomy places the organism in Eukaryota, Metazoa, Chordata, Mammalia, Didelphimorphia, Didelphidae. The record is from RefSeq and is a predicted model, not a curated record.
AUCAACUGUCCCUCUCAUCCUCAGCCCCCGUGUUUCACCUAGAAAGCUGUCCCCUGGGUGCAUCUGGAUUCAUCUCCUAUCCCAUUAUCAAGAUGCGAGAAGUGGUCUGGCAAGUUGGAAAGAGCCCUGAAGUCGCCUCAAGGUGGAGGACCUGGCCCAAGACCUCCUUCUAAACUGAGUAAUCCUGGGUCCCAUCUUCUCAGGAACUCAAUUCCCUCUUUGGAAUUAGAGCAGAACAAGGGGGUAGAUGAAAUGAUUCCUAAGGUCCCCCCAGCUCUUCGCAGGCUGCCCUCUAGUAACAUCAACCUUCAUUCCAUCUCUUCACUUCCUGUUGAGUGAUUGCCAGGCAGAGAUGGACUCAUCAAAUAAAAAGACCCUGGAAAUCA